Molecule: ribosomal RNA, 468 nt
Filed under: uncultured bacterium
Lineage: Bacteria
Description: partial 16S ribosomal RNA
Rfam family: Bacterial small subunit ribosomal RNA
Source: RNAcentral
GACGAACGCUGGCGGCGUGCUUAACACAUGCAAGUCGAACGGAAAGGCCCUGCUUUUGUGGGGUGCUCGAGUGGCGAACGGGUGAGUAACACGUGAGUAACCUGCCCUUGACUUUGGGAUAACUUCAGGAAACUGGGGCUAAUACCGGAUAGGAGCUCCUGCUGCAUGGUGGGGGUUGGAAAGUUUCGGCGGUUGGGGAUGGACUCGCGGCUUAUCAGCUUGUUGGUGGGGUAGUGGCUUACCAAGGCUUUGACGGGUAGCCGGCCUGAGAGGGUGACCGGCCACAUUGGUCCUGAGAUACGGCCCAGACUCCUACGGGAGGCAGCAGUGGGGAAUAUUGCACAAUGGGCGGAAGCCUGAUGCAGCAACGCCGCGUGCGGGAUGACGGCCUUCGGGUUGUAAACCGCUUUCGCCGGUGACGAAGCGUGAGUGACGGUAAUGGGUAAAGAAGCACCGGCUAACUACGUG